Xenopus tropicalis (tropical clawed frog) is the source of this 479-nucleotide long non-coding RNA. RefSeq lists it as uncharacterized. The record is from RefSeq and is a predicted model, not a curated record. Lineage: Eukaryota; Metazoa; Chordata; Amphibia; Anura; Pipidae. The transcript has 3 exons.
UUAUUGUUGCAGUUAUUGUCUGUUGGAAGUGGCAGAAUAUCAGAGGGUGGUGUUCCCAACUGUCAGCCGGGGCCAAUCCUGUGCGUUCCAUGAGAUAUGGGAAGUGCAAUGGAAGGGAGAAUGGGGAAGGAGGAAUAAGCCUUUUGAACCAGAACAACCUCACAAUUUCUAACCACAAGGACGAGGGCACAGAUCUUCAUUCAGGGAAUCAAGGUGACAUUGUCAUAACCGUGCAGAAUGGUGAAACCAGGAAUCCUAAUGGAACCGGCACCGACCCUGCCUGAUUCCUGGGCCGGAGCAGAAUGUGGCUACACGGUCACUGUUACAUACAUAGGGCUGCCCAUACAAGCAGUUUGCCCAACAGUAUGGGCAUCUCGGGGCUCAUUAUAUGACAGAUCAGGUUUCUUGGACCUCAGUCAGUCUGUCUGAACUGCAGAUAUCAUCUUCUGAUGUGCCUUGUUGGUGGGAGUAUUAUUAUU